This 872-nucleotide ribosomal RNA is filed under the name uncultured fungus. Its description in RNAcentral is "eukaryotic LSU rRNA". The stretch from base 633 to 872 matches the Rfam family "Eukaryotic large subunit ribosomal RNA", at positions 1 to 236 of the family's 3401-position model. The record is from RNAcentral. Lineage: Eukaryota; Fungi.
GGAAGGAUCAUUAUCGAAAUCGAAAGCCUAGGAGAAAGGGGGGGGAUGCGGGGCUGUCGCUGGCCUCUUUGGCAUGUGCACGCGUUGGUCCCUCUCCCGCCUUCGAAGCUUUCAACUUCUCAACACCUGUGUGCACCCGCUGUAGGUCCUUCGGGACCUAUGUCUUCUCUUCCGAACUCGCAUGUCUACAGAAUGUGUAUGCGUCGCGUUGGCGACUGCGAAACCUUUGUACAACUUUCAGCAAUGGAUCUCUUGGCUCUCGCAUCGAUGAAGAACGCAGCGAAUCGCGAUAAGUAAUGUGAAUUGCAGAUUUUCCGUGAAUCAUCGAAUCUUUGAACGCACCUUGCGCUCCUUGGUAUUCCGAGGAGCAUGCCUGUUUGAGUGUCAUCGAAAUAUCGGACCGAAUGACUUCGAUGCUGUCGGAGCUCGGUUUCGGAUGUUGGGAGUGGUGCGGGCGGCAACGUCGGCUCUCCUCAAAAGCAUUAGCUGUGGGCGCGAGCCUCGCAUGGCACGGCCGCUUUGACGUCGUAAUGAUCGUCGUGGGCUUGGAAGUGCGUGGGUUGACGUGUCUCCACGCUUCGAAACCUUCUGCGAGUCCGUCCGUCGUCCGGACGGUCGCACGUAUCGAUGCUUGACCUCAAAUCAGGUAGGACUACCCGCUGAACUUAAGCAUAUCAAUAAGCGGAGGAAAAGAAACUAACGAGGAUUCCCCUAGUAACUGCGAGUGAAGCGGGAAAAGCUCAAAUUUCGAAUCUGGCGGUCCUUGGCCGUCCGAGUUGUAAUCUAGAGAAGCGUCUUCCGCGCCGGACCGUGUACAAGUCUCCUGGAAAGGAGCAUCGUAGAGGGUGACAAUCCCGUCUCUGACACGGACC